GUACAGGUACCGUAAUAAUGCUCCGAGCGGAGAGAUGGGAGCUUGCUCCCUUCCUGUUAGCGGCGGACGGGUGAGUAACACGUGGGUAACCUGCCUGUAAGACUGGGAUAACUCCGGGAAACCGGGGCUAAUACCGGAUGGUUGUCUGAACCGCAUGGUUCAGACAUAAAAGGUGGCUUCGGCUACCACUUACAGAUGGACCCGCGGCGCAUUAGCUAGUUGGUGAGGUAACGGCUCACCAAGGCGACGAUGCGUAGCCGACCUGAGAGGGUGAUCGGCCACACUGGGACUGAGACACGGCCCAGACUCCUACGGGAGGCAGCAGUAGGGAAUCUUCCGCAAUGGACGAAAGUCUGACGGAGCAACGCCGCGUGAGUGAUGAAGGUUUUCGGAUCGUAAAGCUCUGUUGUUAGGGAAGAACAAGUGCCGUUCAAAUAGGGCGGCACCUUGACGGUACCUAACCAGAAAGCCACGGCUAACUACGUGCCAGCAGCCGCGGUAAUACGUAGGUGGCAAGCGUUGUCCGGAAUUAUUGGGCGUAAAGGGCUCGCAGGCGGUUUCUUAAGUCUGAUGUGAAAAGCCCCCGGCUCAACCGGGGAGGGUCAUUGGAAACUGGGGAACUUGAGUGCAAAAGAGGAGAGUGGAAUUCCACGUGUACCGGUGAAAUGCGUAAAGAUGUGGAGGAACACCAGUGGCGAAGGCGACUCUCUGGUCUGUAACUGACCCUGAGGACGAAAGCGUGGGGAGCGAACAGGAUUAAAUACCUGGUAAUCCCCCCCGUAAACAAUGAGUGC
RNAcentral lists this ribosomal RNA (794 nucleotides) under Bacillus sp. Bac32D2. RNAcentral's name for it is "bacterial SSU rRNA". It matches the Rfam family "Bacterial small subunit ribosomal RNA", at positions 42 to 816 of the family's 1533-position model. Lineage: Bacteria; Bacillati; Bacillota; Bacilli; Caryophanales; Bacillaceae. The record is from RNAcentral.